RNAcentral lists this ribosomal RNA (395 nucleotides) under uncultured bacterium. Its description in RNAcentral is "partial 16S ribosomal RNA". It matches the Rfam family "Bacterial small subunit ribosomal RNA", at positions 523 to 918 of the family's 1533-position model. The record is from RNAcentral.
AUACGUAGGUGACAAGCGUUAUCCGGAUUUACUGGGCGUAAAGGGCGUGUAGGCGGUCUUGCAAGUCAGAAGUGAAAUUCCCGGGCUUAACUUGGGCGCUGCUUCUGAAACUGCUUAACUUGAGUGCUGGAGAGGAUAGUGGAAUUCCUAGUGUAGCGGUAAAAUGCGCAGAUAUUAGGAGGAACACCGGCGGCGAAGGCGGCUUUCUGGACUGUAACUGACACUGAGGCACGAAAGCGUGGGGAGCAAACAGGAUUAGAUACCCUGGUAGUCCACGCCGUAAACGAUGAGCACUAGCUGUUGGGGCCGAAUGGUCUCAGUGGCGCAGUUAACGCAAUAAGUGCUCCGCCUGGGGAGUACGCGCGCAAGCGUAAAACUCAAAUGAAUUGACGGGG